This 871-nucleotide ribosomal RNA is filed under the name Escherichia coli. Its description in RNAcentral is "partial 23S ribosomal RNA". It matches the Rfam family "Bacterial large subunit ribosomal RNA", at positions 375 to 1251 of the family's 2925-position model. Lineage: Bacteria; Pseudomonadati; Pseudomonadota; Gammaproteobacteria; Enterobacterales; Enterobacteriaceae. The record is from RNAcentral.
GUACACAAAAAUGCACAUACUGUGAGCUCGAUGAGUAGGGCGGGACACGUGGUAUCCUGUCUGAAUAUGGGGGGACCAUCCUCCAAGGCUAAAUACUCCUGACUGACCGAUAGUGAACCAGUACCGUGAGGGAAAGGCGAAAAGAACCCCGGCGAGGGGAGUGAAAAAGAACCUGAAACCGUGUACGUACAAGCAGUGGGAGCCUCUUAAUGGGGUGACUGCGUACCUUUUGUAUAAUGGGUCAGCGACUUAUAUUCUGUAGCAAGGUUAACCGAAUAGGGGAGCCGAAGGGAAACCGAGUCUUAACUGGGCGUUAAGUUGCAGGGUAUAGACCCGAAACCCGGUGAUCUAGCCAUGGGCAGGUUGAAGGUUGGGUAACACUAACUGGAGGACCGAACCGACUAAUGUUGAAAAAUUAGCGGAUGACUUGUGGCUGGGGGUGAAAGGCCAAUCAAACCGGGAGAUAGCUGGUUCUCCCCGAAAGCUAUUUAGGUAGCGCCUCGUGAAUUCAUCUCCGGGGGUAGAGCACUGUUUCGGCAAGGGGGUCAUCCCGACUUACCAACCCGAUGCAAACUGCGAAUACCGGAGAAUGUUAUCACGGGAGACACACGGCGGGUGCUAACGUCCGUCGUGAAGAGGGAAACAACCCAGACCGCCAGCUAAGGUCCCAAAGUCAUGGUUAAGUGGGAAACGAUGUGGGAAGGCCCAGACAGCCAGGAUGUUGGCUUAGAAGCAGCCAUCAUUUAAAGAAAGCGUAAUAGCUCACUGGUCGAGUCGGCCUGCGCGGAAGAUGUAACGGGGCUAAACCAUGCACCGAAGCUGCGGCAGCGACACUAUGUGUUGUUGGGUAGGGGAGCGUUCUGUAAGCCUG